This 385-nucleotide ribosomal RNA is filed under the name uncultured bacterium. Its description in RNAcentral is "bacterial SSU rRNA". It matches the Rfam family "Bacterial small subunit ribosomal RNA", at positions 30 to 416 of the family's 1533-position model. The record is from RNAcentral.
AUUGAACGCUGGCGGCAUGCUUUACACAUGCAAGUCGAACGGGGUGAAGGGGCAACUCUUCAUUCAGUGGCGAACGGGUGAGUAAUGCAUCGGAACGUACCUCGUAGUGGGGGAUAACUCGGCGAAAGCCGUGCUAAUACCGCAUAUGCUCUACGGAGGAAAGCAGGGGACCUGAAAGGGCCUUGUGCUAUGGGAGCGGCCGAUGUCCGAUUAGCUAGUUGGUGGGGAAUGGCCUACCAAGGCGACGAUCGGUAGCUGGUCUGAGAGGAUGAUCAGCCACACUGGGACUGAGACACGGCCCAGACUCCUACGGGAGGCAGCAGUGGGGAAUUGUUCGCAAUGGGCGCAAGCCUGACGACGCAACGCCGCGUGGAGGAUGAAGACC